CGCGUGUACUGGUCCGGCCGGGCCUUUCCCUCUGUGGAACCCCAUGCCCUUCACUGGGUGUGGCGGGGAAACAGGACUUUUACUGUGAAAAAAUUAGAGUGCUCCAGGCAGGCCUAUGCUCGAAUACAUUAGCAUGGAAUAAUAGAAUAGGACGUGUGGUUCUAUUUUGUUGGUUUCUAGGACCGCCGUAAUGAUUAAUAGGGACAGUCGGGGGCAUCAGUAUUCAAUUGUCAGAGGUGAAAUUCUUGGAUUUAUUGAAGACUAACUACUGCGAAAGCAUUUGCCAAGGAUGUUUUCAUUAAUCAGGAACGAAAGUUAGGGGAUCGAAGACGAUCAGAUACCGUCGUAGUCUUAACCAUAAACUAUGCCGACUAGGGAUCGGACGAUGUUAUAUUUUGACUCGUUCGGCACCUUACGAGAAAUCAAAGUGCUUGGGCUCCAGGGGGAGUAUGGUCGCAAGGCUGAAACUUAAAGAAAUUGACGGAAGGGCACCACCAGGGGUGGAGCCUGCGGCUUAAUUUGACUCAACACGGGGAAACUCACCAGGUCCAGACACAAUGAGGAUUGACAGAUUGAGAGCUCUUUCUUGAUUUUGUGGGUGGUGGUGCAUGGCCGUUCUUAGUUGGUGGAGUGAUUUGUCUGCUUAAUUGCGAUAACGAACGAGACCUUAACCUGCUAAAUAGCCCGUAUUGCUUUGGCAGUACGCUGGCUUCUUAGAGGGACUAUCGG
This 729-nucleotide ribosomal RNA is filed under the name uncultured eukaryote. Its description in RNAcentral is "SSU rRNA". It matches the Rfam family "Eukaryotic small subunit ribosomal RNA", at positions 670 to 1426 of the family's 1831-position model. The record is from RNAcentral.